GGGGAUUUAGCUCAGUGGCAUAAGCACCUGCCUUGCAAACAGGCGGUCCUGAGUUCAAUCCCUA
Molecule: transfer RNA, 64 nt
Filed under: Cavia porcellus (domestic guinea pig)
Lineage: Eukaryota; Metazoa; Chordata; Mammalia; Rodentia; Caviidae
Rfam family: tRNA
About the family: Transfer RNA (tRNA) molecules are approximately 80 nucleotides in length. Their secondary structure includes four short double-helical elements and three loops (D, anti-codon, and T loops).
Source: Rfam by way of RNAcentral